UUGGCUCAGAACGAACGCUGGCGGCAGGCCUAACACAUGCAAGUCGAACGGUAGCAGAAAGAAGCUUGCUUCUUUGCUGACGAGUGGCGGACGGGUGAGUAAUGUCUGGGGAUCUGCCCGGUAGAGGGGGAUAACCACUGGAAACGGUGGCUAAUACCGCAUAAUCUCGCAAGAGCAAAGUGGGGGACCUUCGGGCCUCACACUACCGGAUGAACCCAGAUGGGAUUAGCUAGUUGGUGGGGUAAGGGCUCACCAAGGCGACGAUCCCUAGCUGGUCUGAGAGGAUGACCA
RNAcentral lists this ribosomal RNA (291 nucleotides) under uncultured bacterium. Its description in RNAcentral is "partial 16S ribosomal RNA". It matches the Rfam family "Bacterial small subunit ribosomal RNA", at positions 19 to 306 of the family's 1533-position model. The record is from RNAcentral.